RNAcentral lists this ribosomal RNA (384 nucleotides) under uncultured bacterium. Its description in RNAcentral is "bacterial SSU rRNA". It matches the Rfam family "Bacterial small subunit ribosomal RNA", at positions 28 to 414 of the family's 1533-position model. The record is from RNAcentral.
GACGAACGCUGGCGGCGUGCUUAACACAUGCAAGUCGAGCGGAAAGGCCCUUUCGGGGGUACUCGAGCGGCGAACGGGUGAGUAACACGUGAGUAAUCUGCCCUUGGCUUUGGGAUAACUACCGGAAACGGUGGCUAAUACCGGAUAUGACCAUGCUCGGCAUCGGGUGUGGUGGAAAGUUUUUUCGGCCAGGGAUGUGCUCGCGGCCUAUCAGCUUGUUGGUGGGGUAAUGGCCUACCAAGGCUUCGACGGGUAGCCGGCCUGAGAGGGUGACCGGCCACACUGGGACUGAGACACGGCCCAGACUCCUACGGGAGGCAGCAGUGGGGAAUAUUGGACAAUGGGCGGAAGCCUGAUCCAGCAACGCCGCGUGAGGGAUGACGG